UACGGAGGGUGCAAGCGUUAUUCGGAUUCACUGGGCUUAAAGGGUGCGUAGGUGGGUCAGUAAGUCCGUGGUGAAAUCUCCGGGCUUAACUCGGAAACUGCCAUUGAUACUAUUUGUCUUGAAUACUGUGGAGGUCAGCGGAAUAUGUCAUGUAGCGGUGAAAUGCUUAGAUAUGACAUAGAACACCAAUGGCGAAGGCAGCUGGCUGCACAAAUAUUGACACUGAGGCACGAAAGCGUGGGGAUCAAACAGG
This 253-nucleotide ribosomal RNA is filed under the name uncultured bacterium. Its description in RNAcentral is "partial 16S ribosomal RNA". It matches the Rfam family "Bacterial small subunit ribosomal RNA", at positions 524 to 776 of the family's 1533-position model. The record is from RNAcentral.